This 352-nucleotide ribosomal RNA is filed under the name Kryptoperidinium foliaceum. RNAcentral describes it as "partial Bacterial large subunit ribosomal RNA". It matches the Rfam family "Bacterial large subunit ribosomal RNA", at positions 1980 to 2331 of the family's 2925-position model. The record is from RNAcentral. Lineage: Eukaryota; Dinophyceae; Peridiniales; Kryptoperidiniaceae.
GUUCCGACCUGCACGAAUGGCGUAACGACUUCCCCGCUGUCUCCAACAUCGACUCAGCGAAAUUGAAUUGCCUGUCAAGAUGCAGGCUUCCCGCGGUUAGACGGAAAGACCCCGUGCACCUUUACUACAGCUUCGCACUGGCAUCAGGACUGCAUUGUGCAGGAUAGGUGGUAGGCUUUGAAACCGGAACGCCAGUUCCGGUGGAGCCUCCCUUGAGAUACCACCCUUCGCACUCUUGAUGUCUAACCGCGGCCCGUUAUCCGGGUCCGGGACCCUGCGUGGUGGGUAGUUUGACUGGGGCGGUCGCCUCCUAAAGCGUAACGGAGGCGCGCGAAGGUUGGCUCAGAGCGGU